UCUUGACCUCGGAUCAGGUAGGGAUACCCGCUGAACUUAAGCAUAUCAAUAAGCGGA
Molecule: ribosomal RNA, 57 nt
Filed under: Pyrenochaeta sp.
Lineage: Eukaryota; Fungi; Ascomycota; Dothideomycetes; Pleosporales; Cucurbitariaceae
Description: partial 28S ribosomal RNA
Source: RNAcentral